UGGGGAAUUUUGGACAAUGGGCGAAAGCCUGAUCCAGCAAUGCCGCGUGUGUGAAGAAGGCCUUCGGGUUGUAAAGCACUUUUGUCCGGAAAGAAAACGCCGUGGUUAAUACCCGUGGCGAAUGACGGUACCGGAAGAAUAAGCACCGGCUAACUACGUGCCAGCAGCCGCGGUAAUACGUAGGGUGCAAGCGUUAAUCGGAAUUACUGGGCGUAAAGCGUGCGCAGGCGGUCCGCUAAGACAGAUGUGAAAUCCCCGGGCUUAACCUGGGAACUGCAUUUGUGACUGGCGGGCUAGAGUAUGGCAGAGGGGGGUAGAAUUCCACGUGUAGCAGUGAAAUGCGUAGAGAUGUGGAGGAAUACCGAUGGCGAAGGCAGCCCCCUGGGCCAAUACUGACGCUCAUGCACGAAAGCGUGGGGAGCAAACAGG
Molecule: ribosomal RNA, 429 nt
Filed under: Bacillota bacterium
Lineage: Bacteria; Bacillati; Bacillota
Description: Firmicutes bacterium partial 16S ribosomal RNA
Rfam family: Bacterial small subunit ribosomal RNA
Source: RNAcentral